CAACAUUCACCAGUUUGUUGGCCACUUGGUGUAGGACAAGGGUGCCAGGUUAAAAGAUAGGUUAGGUACAUUCAGUUCUGGUACUGGAUGCGCUAGGAAUAUUGUUAGCUGCUUGACACAAACUCUGCUUGGUGGCUCCUGUUGCUUGGAACAUCAGCUGGUAAGACUCUGUGUCAUAGCCACUGAUGUCAAAUCAGGAGGGAGCUGUAGCAGUCUGCUUCAGUCUGCAUGGAGGUCAGAAGCUCCAGAGAGGAAAGUGGUCUUCCCUGAUGGGGGAAGGCAGAGAAAGAGAGCUGAUGUCUCCAUGGAUUGAUACAAAACAUUCACCUUUAAGAAAAGGGCUCAAACCGACACCAGAGGCCACAGUCUGCGGAGAUGUUUGAAAAAGGAUGACGAUGGACGAACAAUGGCUCUUUCCAGAUUGUAUUUUCUACCAUUCAGAAAGCCAGUGAUUCCUAUGACAAUAUAAUAUGUUUCUUGUUAUAACGUGAAAACUAAAUGGUUAAAAAGUAUUGUUAUUACAUAAAGCAUUUCACUUUAUAAUAAAACUUA
Molecule: long non-coding RNA, 552 nt
Organism: Scophthalmus maximus (turbot)
Lineage: Eukaryota; Metazoa; Chordata; Actinopteri; Pleuronectiformes; Scophthalmidae
Exons: 3
Source: RefSeq, a predicted model, not a curated record